CCUACGGGAGGCAGCAGUGGGGAAUAUUGGACAAUGGGCGAAAGCCUGAUCCAGCAAUGCCGCGUGAGUGAUGAAGGCCUUCGGGUCGUAAAGCUCUUUUACCAGGGAUGAUAAUGACAGUACCUGGAGAAUAAGCUCCGGCUAACUCCGUGCCAGCAGCCGCGGUAAUACGGAGGGAGCUAGCGUUGUUCGGAAUUACUGGGCGUAAAGAGUACGUAGGCGGUUAUUCAAGUCAGAGGUGAAAGCCCGGGGCUCAACCCCGGAACUGCCUUUGAAACUAGAUAACUAGAGUCUUGGAGAGGUUAGUGGAAUUCCGAGUGUAGAGGUGAAAUUCGUAGAUAUUCGGAAGAACACCAGUGGCGAAGGCGACUAACUGGACAAGUACUGACGCUGAGGUACGAAAGCGUGGGGAGCAAACAGGAUUAGAUACCCUGGUAGUCCACGCCGUAAACGAUGAUAACUAGUUGUUCGGUCACUUGGUGACUGAGUGACGCAGCUAACGCAUUAAGUUAUCCGCCUGGGGAGUACGGUCGCAAGAUUAAAACUCAAAUGAAUUGACG
RNAcentral lists this ribosomal RNA (560 nucleotides) under uncultured bacterium. RNAcentral describes it as "bacterial SSU rRNA". It matches the Rfam family "Bacterial small subunit ribosomal RNA", at positions 338 to 915 of the family's 1533-position model. The record is from RNAcentral.